This 465-nucleotide ribosomal RNA is filed under the name uncultured bacterium. Its description in RNAcentral is "partial 16S ribosomal RNA". It matches the Rfam family "Bacterial small subunit ribosomal RNA", at positions 28 to 507 of the family's 1533-position model. The record is from RNAcentral.
GACGAACGCUGGCGGCGUGCUUAACACAUGCAAGUCGAACGGAAAGGCCCCUUUGGGGGUACUCGAGUGGCGAACGGGUGAGUAACACGUGAGUAACCUGCCCUUGACUUCGGGAUAACUUCAGGAAACUGGGGCUAAUACCGGAUAGGAAUCCUUGCUGCAUGGUGGGGGUUGGAAAGCUUCGGCGGUUUUGGAUGGACUCGCGGCUUAUCAGCUUGUUGGUGGGGUAGUGGCUUACCAAGGCUUUGACGGGUAGCCGGCCUGAGAGGGCGACCGGCCACAUUGGGACUGAGAUACGGCCCAGACUCCUACGGGAGGCAGAAGUGGGGAAUAUUGAACAAUGGGCGGAAGCCUGAUGCAGAAACGCCGCGGGCGGGAUGACGGCCUUCGGGUUGUAAACCGCUUUCAGCAGGGGCGAAGCUUGUGGUGACGGUACCUGCAGAAGAAGCACCGGCUAACUACGUG